RNAcentral lists this ribosomal RNA (253 nucleotides) under uncultured prokaryote. RNAcentral describes it as "partial 16S ribosomal RNA". It matches the Rfam family "Bacterial small subunit ribosomal RNA", at positions 524 to 776 of the family's 1533-position model. The record is from RNAcentral.
UACGGAGGAUGCAAGCGUUAUCCGGAAUGAUUGGGCGUAAAGCGUCCGUAGGUGGUUAGGCAAGUCUGCUGUCAAAGCUCGGGGCUUAACUCCGAAGCGGCGGUGGAAACUGCCAGACUGGAGUGCGGUAGGGGUAGAGGGAAUUCCCGGUGUAGCGGUGAAAUGCGUAGAUAUCGGGAAGAACACCGGCGGCGAAGGCGCUCUACUGGGCCGUAACUGACACUGAGGGACGAAAGCUAGGGGAGCGAAAGGG